AAAAAAAAAUUAUUAUGGGUAUUUUAAAAACUGAUGUGACUUGUUUUCUUGUAAUAAUAUUUACAAUUUCAUUGUCCAACCAUAACAUUUUGGUUUCAGGUGAAAAAACCUCAUUCGACCACUGCGAUACGUUGUGUACAGAUUAUUACGGAUGGCAUGAAUGUUUAACUGACUGUACAAUAGAAGGCUACGUAAGUGGGUUAUGUGCUUCUCCUUUUCCUAACCAACCUAAGCGAUGUUGUUGUCAAAAACACCCUCUAAUAAUUGGUGAUUGAGUGUUGUAAUAAAUGCCAUGGAAUAAAAAAGAAACUAUUUAUGAUAAAACGUACUAUUUUUAAUCAAA
Arabidopsis lyrata subsp. lyrata is the source of this 343-nucleotide long non-coding RNA. RefSeq lists it as uncharacterized. The transcript is spliced from 2 exons. NCBI's taxonomy places the organism in Eukaryota, Viridiplantae, Streptophyta, Magnoliopsida, Brassicales, Brassicaceae. The record is from RefSeq and is a predicted model, not a curated record.